Long non-coding RNA from Oncorhynchus keta (chum salmon), 2530 nucleotides. RefSeq lists it as uncharacterized. The transcript is spliced from 4 exons. The record is from RefSeq and is a predicted model, not a curated record. Lineage: Eukaryota; Metazoa; Chordata; Actinopteri; Salmoniformes; Salmonidae.
UUUUUCCUAGCCACCGUGCUUUUACACCUGCAUUGUUUGCUGUUUGGGGUUUUAGGCUGGGUUUCUGUACAGCACUUUGAGAUAUCAGCUGAUGUACGAAGGGCUAUAUAAAUAAAUUUGAUUUGAUUUGAUUUGAUAUGUGAUAAUACUGGUCAUUGACUACAGUUCAGCGUUCAACACCAUAGUGCCCACAAAGCUCAUCACUAAGAUAAGGACCCUGGGACUAAACACCUCCCUCUGCAACUGGAUCCUGGACUUCACCCACAACUGCAUGGCCAAGCACUACUCCAACACCAUCCUUAAGUUUGCUGACAACACAAGUGGUAGGCCUGAUCACAGACAAUGAGACCUGGUCGUGCGGUGCCAGGACAACAAUCGCUCCCUCAAUGUGAGCAAGACAAAAAAGGAGCUGAUCGUGGACUACUGGAAAACAUUAACGUCAAAGGGGCUGAAGUGGAGCGGGUCGAGAGUUUCAAGUUCCUUGGUGUCCACAUCACCAACAAACUAUCAUGGUCCAAACACAAGAAGACAGUUGUGAAGAGGCCACGACAAUACCUUUUCCCCCCCUCAGGAGACUGAAAAGAUUUGGCAUGGGUCAUCAGACCCUCAAAUUUCUACAGCUGCACCAUCGAGAGCAUCCUGACUGGUUGCAUCACCACCUGGUACGGCAACCGCUCGGCAUCCGACCGUAAGGCGCUACAGAGGGUAGUGUGUACGGCCCACUACUUCACUGGGGCCAAGCUUCCUGCCAUCCAGGACCUCUAUACCAGGCGGUGUCAGAGGACGGCCCCAAAAAAUGGACAAAGACUCCAGUUACCCAAGACAUACACUGUUCUCUCUGCUACAGCACAGCAAGCGGUACCGGAGCGCCACGUCUAGGACCAAAAGGCUCCUGAACAACCAAGCCAUAAGACUGCUGAACAAUUAAUCAAAUGGCCACCGGGCUAUUUAGAAAUUGCUGCUACUCGCUGUUUAUUAUCGUCACUUUACAAAUUAGUGAUGAGCUUUGAGGGAACUAUGGUGUUGAACACUGAGCUGUAGUCAAUGAUUAUCUAUGCAUGAUGAUUAUCAAUGCAUUAUCACACAGGUGUUCCUUUUGUUACUGUUAUGUCAUUUUCUUGAUACUUCGAUUUUAUUUUAUUUUAUACUUUAGUUUAUUUAGUAAAUAUUUUCUUAACUCUAUUUCUUGAACUGCAUUGUUGGUUAAGGGCUUGUAAGUCAGCAUUUCACAGUAAGGUCUACACCGGUUGGUUAAGGGCUUGUAAGUCAGCAUUUCACUGUAAGGUCUACACCUGUUGGUUAAGGGCUUGUAAGUCAACAUUUCACUGUAAGGUCUACACCUGUUGGUUAAGGGCUUGUAAGUCAACAUUUCACAGUAAGGUCUACACCUGUUGGUUAAGGGCUUGUAAGUCAGCAUUUCACUGUAAGGUCUACACCUGUUGGUUAAGGGCUUGUAAGUCAACAUUUCACAGUAAGGUCUACACCUGUUGGUUAAGGGCUUGUAAGUCAACAUUUCACAGUAAGGUCUACACCUGUUGGUUAAGGGCUUGUAAGUCAACAUUUCACAGUAAGGUCUACACCUGUUGGUUAAGGGCUUGUAAGUCAACAUUUCACAGUAAGGUCUACACCUGUUGGUUAAGGGCUUGUAAGUCAACAUUUCACUGUAAGGUCUACACCUGUUGGUUAAGGGCUUGUAAGUCAACAUUUCACAGUAAGGUCUACACCUGUUGGUUAAGGGCUUGUAAGUCAACAUUUCACAGUAAGGUCUACACCUGUUGGUUAAGGGCUUGUAAGUCAACAUUUCACAGUAAGGUCUACACCUGUUGGUUAAGGGCUUGUAAGUCAACAUUUCACAGUAAGGUCUACACCUGUUGGUUAAGGGCUUGUAAGUCAACAUUUCACUGUAAGGUCUACACCUGUUGGUUAAGGGCUUGUAAGUCAACAUUUCACAGUAAGGUCUACACCUGUUGGUUAAGGGCUUGUAAGUCAACAUUUCACAGUAAGGUCUACACCUGUUGGUUAAGGGCUUGUAAGUCAACAUUUCACAGUAAGGUCUACACCUGUUGGUUAAGGGCUUGUAAGUCAACAUUUCACUGUAAGGUCUACACCUGUUGGUUAAGGGCUUGUAAGUCAACAUUUCACUGUAAGGUCUACACCUGUUGGUUAAGGGCUUGUAAGUCAACAUUUCACUGUAAGGUCUACACCUGUUGGUUAAGGGCUUGUAAGUCAACAUUUCACUGUAAGGUCUACACCUGUUGGUUAAGGGCUUGUAAGUCAACAUUUCACUGUAAGGUCUACACCUGUUGGUUAAGGGCUUGUAAGUCAACAUUUCACUGUAAGGUCUACACCUGUUGGUUAAGGGCUUGUAAGUCAACAUUUCACUGUAAGGUCUACACCUGUUGGUUAAGGGCUUGUAAGUCAACAUUUCACUGUAAGGUCUACACCUGUUGGUUAAGGGCUUGUAAGUCAACAUUUCACAGUAAGGUCUACACCGGUUGGUUAAGGGCUUGUAAGUCAACAUUUCACUGUA